Molecule: unclassified non-coding RNA, 348 nt
Filed under: soil metagenome
Description: partial contains 5.8S ribosomal RNA, internal transcribed spacer 2, and large subunit ribosomal RNA
Rfam family: 5.8S ribosomal RNA (bases 1-120)
Source: RNAcentral
GAUGAAGAACGUAGUGAAAUGCGAUAAGUAAUGUGAAUUGCAGAAUUCAGUGAAUCAUCGAAUCUUUGAACGCACAUUGCGCCCGCCAGUAUUCUGGCGGGCAUGCCUGUCUGAGCGUCAUUUCAACCCUCAUGCCCCUAGGGCGUGGUGUUGGGGAUCGGCCAAAGCCCGCGAGGGACGGCCGGCCCCUAAAUCUAGUGGCGGACCCGUCGUGGCCUCCUCUGCGAAGUAGUGAUAUGCCGCAUCGGAGAGCGAUGAGCCCCUGCCGUUAAACCCCCAACUUUCCAAGGUUGACCUCAGAUCAGGUAGGAAUACCCGCUGAACUUAAGCAUAUCAAUAAGCGGAGGA